This 443-nucleotide non-coding RNA is filed under the name Brassica napus (rape). RNAcentral's name for it is "Eukaryotic small subunit ribosomal RNA". It matches the Rfam family "Eukaryotic small subunit ribosomal RNA", at positions 576 to 961 of the family's 1831-position model. The record is from Rfam by way of RNAcentral. Lineage: Eukaryota; Viridiplantae; Streptophyta; Magnoliopsida; Brassicales; Brassicaceae.
GCGGUAAUUCCAGCUCCAAUAGCGUAUAUUUAAGUUGUUGCAGUUAAAAAGCUCGUAGUUGAACCUUGGGAUGGGUCGCCCGGUCCGCCUUCGGUGAGCACCGGUCGGCUUGUCUCUUCUGUCGGCGAUACGCUCCUGGCCUUAACUGGCCGGGUCGUGCCUCCGGCGCUGUUACUUUCAAGAAAUUAGAGUGCUCAAAGCAAGCCUACGCUUUGUAUACAUUAGCAUGGGAUAACAUCAUAGGAUUUCGAUCCUAUUGUGUUGGCCUUCGGGAUCGGAGUAAUGAUUAAAAGGGACAGUCGGUGUAACACCCCCGAACCAUUUUAGGUAUAGGUCGAACCACCGGCCAACAAUCAAACAAGAACAUGACCAAUGGACGAACUUUCUACCAAGGUUUGGAAGCGCUACAUGACGGGUUAGGGACAAUCCAGCCAUGAUCACAA